This 505-nucleotide ribosomal RNA is filed under the name Cervidellus vexilliger. RNAcentral's name for it is "SSU rRNA". It matches the Rfam family "Eukaryotic small subunit ribosomal RNA", at positions 88 to 590 of the family's 1831-position model. Lineage: Eukaryota; Metazoa; Nematoda; Chromadorea; Rhabditida; Cephalobidae. The record is from RNAcentral.
CGCGAAUGGCUCAUUAUAACAGCUAUAAUUUACUUGAUCUUGACACAAUCCUACUUGGAUAACUGUGGUAAUUCUAGAGCUAAUACAUGCAUUAAAGCUCUGACCGCAAGGGAAGAGUGCACUUAUUAGAACAAAACCAAGCGGCUUCGGCUGUUUUCGGUUGACUCAUAGUAACUGAGCUGAUCGCACGGUCUUGCACCGGCGACGUGUCUUUCAAGUAUCUGCCGUAUCAACUUUCGAUGGCAGUGUAUCUGACUACCAUGGUGAUCACGCGUAACGGAGAAUAAGGGUUCGGCUCCGGAGAGUUCGCCUGAGAAAUCGCGAACACAUCUAAGGAAGGCAGCAGGCGCGAAAAUUACCCACUCUCAGCACGAGGAGGUAGUGACGAAAAAUAACGAGACCGUUCUCUUAUGAGGCCGGUCAUCGGAAUGGGUACAAUUUAAACCCUUUAACGAGUAUCUAUGAGAGGGCAAGUCUGGUGCCAGCAGCCGCGGUAAUUCCAGCU